GAAGUCUCAGAUCAGAGAAACUCAUCCAGGCUUUAGUUUCUCUUUAGCAGCUUUGAUUCCUGCAGCAGGUCCGAACCCAACGGUCCAGAACCUGCUGGAGUUCAGCACUUUGAACGGCUUUACUGCUGAAAUGCUGUACAAUUAUAAACCUGACAGACAAUUAAACAUCAAAUCCAACAUUUUAUGAAGAGUUUUAAUGAUCCUGUUGAUGAUAAAACAUUUUAAUUUAAGGGACCGGUUCUGAUGGACCCAUCGGAUGUUUUCUGUUGGUAGAAGCAUUAAGGUUCUUUAUUCAUAUUUUAAUUGAGUUUGAUACUAAAAUCUGACUUAAUCUAGUUAAAGUACAUUUAACCCAACAUGUUGGAUGUUUGAUAUAAACUGUUGUGUUUUCCAGCAGCUCUUCAUCUUCAUCAUCACUUCCUACCAGUCUGACCCAGUAGAACCAGUCUGAGCUGAUCCACAUCAAACCAGUUUGUUCCUGAGGAAACAGAGAUUGUUGUGAUUUCAGAGACAGAGACCCAGAGGUCAGAGCUUCCUCCAUCCUGAAGGUCAAAGGUCAGAAGCUGAGCUGGAGGAUCAGACUAGAGGAGAGAAGGUCGUCACCAUGGCAAGUUUACCACAUGAAAACCAAACAUCAUCUCAGACUCCCUCACCUGCAUCACAGGAGGAAAACUCUGAAGAUGAGAAAUUAUCAGUGGCUCUGCUGAACAUUAAUGGUCUGAGAAUCAAAACUCAUGAAGUAAAACACAUUAUUGCUCGU
Molecule: long non-coding RNA, 760 nt
Organism: Xiphophorus hellerii (green swordtail)
Lineage: Eukaryota; Metazoa; Chordata; Actinopteri; Cyprinodontiformes; Poeciliidae
Exons: 2
Source: RefSeq, a predicted model, not a curated record